RNAcentral lists this long non-coding RNA (942 nucleotides) under Vulpes vulpes (red fox). RNAcentral's name for it is "lncRNA (ENSVVUG00000025180.1)". The record is from RNAcentral. Lineage: Eukaryota; Metazoa; Chordata; Mammalia; Carnivora; Canidae.
CAAGUACUGCUGUCUGUAUACCUGUGACAACAAUUCGAAAAGGCCGAUCUGUGUAGAUGCUAGAGGUGGGUGUGCCUGGCUGGAGGAAGAAUGCUAAGAGGAACAUGGGAGGAUGUCAAAAAAACCUAGACCCACUUCACAAAUCUGUGCAAGACUAGCCUUCCCCUGCAAAACUGAGACCACCCUCAGGAGCUAACACUUUGCCAUAUGGCAUACCUACGUACUAUCGCUCCCACAGGAAACGUUGGAAUUCAAACCAGGACUUGUUACUGAUACAGCUAUCGAGGAAAAACAUCAGGGAGUGAGCAUGGCCAUUUCAUCUCCGCCCCCAGUGGAAAGCAGUCCAGCAGCAGGAUGCAGGGUGUCUUAGUGGAGUCCCUCAUUACUCUGCCCCUUGCUCAGGCAUAAAUCAUUCUCUAAUUACAGAUCAGGCAUAAAUCGUUCUGGAACCAUGGUGCUCACUAAAUGUUAUUGUGUUAUUGAGACAUAAAUCCUAUGUCAGCUCGAUGAAAUGUCUGCGGCCAUUGGGUUAAACAAGUCAAGGCAGCUACUUAAUGAUCUCCAAACACUCGAUUAUUAAAGUUCAGAGAAUGUUCCAGUGGAAAACAUGUUAAAGUGGACUUUAAACAACUGUUUCUCACAUUUGUUUGAAAUGAAUGAGGUAACAUGUAGCCUAUUUUCUACUAGUGAGCAACUCACAUCCAUGAUGAAGCCAACACUGUUAUCAGAAAAGAGACAAAAAGAAAUUAAAUCCUUGAUCAUAUUAUUGAGCUGGAUGAGCCAGUCCUGACACACACUUCCAAGCAUGUAAGUCAAAAAAAUGUAGUUACUCUUGUAGCCAGUUUGAUUUGGGUUUUCUGUUCUUUGCAUCUGAAAGCAUCUUAAGUGUUUCACUUGCCUAAAGCUUUAUUGAAAUGAAAAAAUAGAAUGUCCUUUUUUUUC